This 495-nucleotide ribosomal RNA is filed under the name uncultured bacterium. Its description in RNAcentral is "partial 16S ribosomal RNA". It matches the Rfam family "Bacterial small subunit ribosomal RNA", at positions 28 to 507 of the family's 1533-position model. The record is from RNAcentral.
GACGAACGCUGGCGGCGUGCCUAAUACAUGCAAGUAGAACGCUGAAGGAGGAGCUUGCUUCUCUGGAUGAGUUGCGAACGGGUGAGUAACGCGUAGGUAACCUGCCUGGUAGCGGGGGAUAACUAUUGGAAACGAUAGCUAAUACCGCAUAAUAGUAGAUGUUGCAUGACAUUUGCUUAAAAGGUGCAAUUGCAUCACUACCAGAUGGACCUGCGUUGUAUUAGCUAGUUGGUGGGGUAACGGCUCACCAAGGCGACGAUACAUAGCCGACCUGAGAGGGUGAUCGGCCACACUGGGACUGAGACACGGCCCAGACUCCUACGGGAGGCAGCAGUAGGGAAUCUUCGGCAAUAGACGGAAGUCUGACUGAGCAACGCCGCGUGAGUGAAGAAGGUUUUCGGAUCGUAAAGCUCUGUUGUAAGAGAAGAACGAGUGUGAGAGUGGAAAGUUCACACUGUGACGGUAUCUUACCAGAAAGGGACGGCUAACUACGUG